This 91-nucleotide non-coding RNA is filed under the name uncultured Anaerotruncus sp. RNAcentral describes it as "NiCo riboswitch". It matches the Rfam family "NiCo (Nickel/Cobalt) riboswitch aptamer". The record is from RNAcentral. Lineage: Bacteria; Bacillati; Bacillota; Clostridia; Eubacteriales; Oscillospiraceae.
GUACAAACUGAGCAGGCGAUGAACCUUAUCUUUCCAGGUUCGUGGGGCCGGGCCAUUUUCGGCAGUGGGUGUUUCACAUCUGCGGGACAGU